AGCCCCUGGUUCGAAACCAGGCAGAAACUUUAAAGUAAUGUUUUGUCCGAUUGUAGAUAAUAAAUGUGUGUGACAGUCCAUGAGUGUUCACAAGAUGGCCAGUCGGUACUGCAUUUCCUGUAAAAGAGUCCCAGGAUAUGGCAAAGUGCACUGGCAAGUCUAUGUUCACUAAAGGACUGUCCUGUCAACAUUUCAAAAAGACAGGCUAUCAUUGGGUGCUUUUCACUUUUAAACGCACCUAAACACAAAAUUUUGUGGGCGCCGUGGUAGACGCCCUACGGGGAGGGGUACUGUCAGGCUUUAUUUAUUUAUAGGUUUUAUUUUGUAACAAUUACGGUUUCUGUGCAUCAUGUUAGUUUCCACUUUUGUUUUGAAAGGACUUAGUCAUGUUUUUGGUUCCAGUUUCAUUUCCUGUUUUAUGUUGAAGGACUUCCGGUUUUUGUUCAUGUCAGCUGUUUCCUGUCACUCCCGGUUCACCAUGCACACCUGUCUCAGAUCAAUAAUCAGCCACCCGGAUUUAAGCACCAGUAGUCACCACAGUUAUCCACCAGAUGGUUGUACUCCUACCGUAACUUCCCAGCAUUCUUCUGAUCGCGUAUUUCGUGUUUGACCCUGCUCCGUAUUUUUGACUCCAGAUUCUCGUCUGAUCCUGACCUGUGUAUGACCCGGACUGUUUUUUUGACUUCGAUUCUAGAAUAAAUCCAAUUUUUUUCACCAUCUACAUCGUGUCCUGGCGCUGUGCAUUUGGGUCCUCUCUCUGCCGUUCCGUGACAAGGAGAAAGGAGUGACAGUAGUCCAGCCUAGAGGUGGAGGCCAACACCACUGAUUAUGUGGUGAGAGUCUCCCAAACCCAGCAGCACAGAGAAAGCAGUGAUACCUUCUCUACUGGUUAGGACUGGGAGGCUCCCCUCUGUCUGGACCAGAGGCUGGAGGGAGCGAAGAGCUGCAGGAUGCUAGAAGAAACCUCAUAAACAGGGACUUUAUCAACACCCAACAUCCACCAAAAUGAGGGGCCCUUGGUGGGUUGAAGAUGAACUUGAUUUGUUGAGAAGCCAGCUGGUCUUGAAGGUCUGGCUGUAAUGAAGAGAAUGCGUCCUGCAACUCUCGCUCUCUGAAUCUGCAUCAAUGCUUGAAAGGAGAUCUAGGUGAACAGCUCUGGUCGUCAUACACUUGAAGAUGAUUCCCCAUCUCUUCUCAGUUCUUCGUCCAAUCUUUAUCUGGUAUGGACCAAAACGGUCGACUCCAGUGGAAUAGAAAGCUGGUUUGUGGAGGCGUAGCCUUGCUGGUGGAAGAUUAGCCAUCCGAGGUUGUUUUGAUUUUCCAUGCCACCUUCUGCAUUCAGUGCACUGAUGCUGAUGUUGUCUGACUGCCCCUCUUCCUUGUAGAAUCAAUACUCCUCAUUUCGGCAAACCCCCGAGAUUUGCCGCCGUAUCAAACUCUGAUGAUGAUCCGACUGCUACUGGAGAUGGGCUUCCCUGUCAUCAACUUCUGAUAUUCAUCAGGAAAACUUUCCCGCUGUGCCCGCUGCAGUAAGCUGUUUUCUGCUUCUCGGUGGUUAUCUGCGGAGGAGAAGAUCGAGCCAGGUGACCAGAUCCUCAUCAAGGCCAUCAAACAAAAGACGUGGUCAAGUCCGCAGUGGGAGGGGCCAUACACUGUGGUACUCACUACACCGACGGCUGUAAAGAUCGAGGAGAGAGCUACGUGGAUCCAUCAAAACCACUGCAAGAGGGUAAUUCCCCUUGUUGGCACUGAGUAGGGGUGGAAGUCGACCGGUAUCAAAUACAGGAACUUGUCUGAAACAUGGAAGAGCAUGUGUACAUUUAAUUCUUAUCUGUGCCUUCCACUUUCUAUAUGUACUCUUAUUACUCUUGCUGACUCAAGUGACUCAAGUAUCAGGAAACAUGAGUGAAAUGUGUUGGCCCGUGCAUUGCCACUGGCUCUCCACACCAAACUGCGUAGUCCAUGGACAAAAGCGGGGAGAGUCAUCUGAGUCAUUUCAAUACUCCUAACCCAACAAAAUUGAGGGAAUAGCAACAUUGAUUCGAAUUUCAGCAUAACCAUAACAUUUUGUCGGCUUACCUGUGAGAAUGCCCUGAGGUUUGUAGUUCACUUCAUAUACUGUAUGGCAGGAUAGGCGACCUCUCAUGGAAGGGCACAUAUACAGAAUGUAAGAGCAACUGGUGAGCAACAAUUUUCAAUAAUGUUUUUCUUACUGUAAGUUGGUAAAAAGAAUAUGUCCACAGUAUAAUUUAAGGUGUGAGGAGAAUUAUUACAUACAGACAUUGAUUAACAAAUGUGUUUAAAGUAAAACCUUUUUUAUCUACCAGUUUAUUUAGGUUUAAAACUUAUUUCUGGAGUUCUAUUGGGAACAAAUGGCACAGCCCUGGCCCAUCAGUGCUAUCUGCCUAGCACUUUAAGUGAUCAAACUUUCUCACUUUCAGGUGAAACUUUGAAUUGAAUUCAACUGAAGACAGACCACAAGGCUUCACUAGCCACGUUGUUGAAUGGUGUCUAUGGUCUCCUCUUCCACAUGCAGAGUCCAAGCUUCUAUCUCAUCAGAUAUCACUGCAGUAUAGCCUCUUGUUCUUUCCAGCCACUAACUGUGAUGCUAACACUGCAGCACUCUGGUGGACCCUCUUGAAGACUCAGCUUGUACCAGUUUGUUUGUUCAGUUUAAUAACAUGUUAUUUUAAUGCCCAAUAAUAUGUCUAAAGUAGCAUUAUGCUCUUUGUUCAAUCUUCUGGGCAGCUUCCAUUGUAGGUGUACAUAUUUCAUUGAUAAAGAACAAAGUAUGGUUGUCAAGUAUACUAUUGUUUAUUUUUACAAGUUACUUUGUUUAAAACACAAAACAGGACAAAAGAAAGUAUUUUAACAUUAUAUAAUAGUGAUCUGAUCACUGUGCAUUUCCGCAAUCACGUGACUAUAACGCUGUUAUAGAUCUGCGUAAAUGUAAGGUCUGGUUUUACAGCACUGGUAAAUUGAGUCGGCUAUGGUACGGAGCCCCUCCUUCAACCAACUUAAAUACAAUUGAGACUGUAUUGGCUAUUCCAAAUUGGUUAUUGGUCCCUCGUAACAGGGUGGUGCCCCUGUAAAUUAAGUGAUUAUUAAUUCCAUUAAUAAUUAUUAAAUCAAUAAUAGUUAACUGUUUCACUUACCAAACUACAGACCUUUGUCAUAUAGGUAUAUAUUUAAGCUAAUAACCAAAAUUUGUGAAUUUAAAUUAUAAACAUAAUUGGUAUCUCCACUCAGGAGCUAUAAAUCCAAUUAUUAUAAUUUGUGCUCCUUGCAUAUCCCCAUAAUUGGUGCAAACCUGUGUGAGGUAAAUCAAACUCAGCCCUUUCUGAGACUAGGUGGUGUUGCUAAUUCAUUUGGCAAUACCACUGUCAGGGUGCGGCUGAGAUCGGACCCACAUGCACGGUGUAAGGACACCAGGUAGAUGGUAAAGAAUCAGGGUUUAUUUCGGUAAUUGUAGUCGCAGACAGUCCAGUCCGUGGUAUGACCAGAAAUGGAAGUGCUUACAAAAUAAAACAGGAAACUGGAACCAAAACCUGACAACUAAGGUGAAACAGAAAAGUCCUUUAAAAUAAAACAAGAAACAAAAACCCAGAUCAUGACAACCACCACCCUCACAUUGCCCCAACAGUGGACACAUCUUGAAACCUGGUAGUAUCUGCAGAAAGGGAAAAAAAGAAAAUCAGCAAUGGGGAAAAAUGCAUGCAAGAUUAAAGUUCGUCCUGGCAGUUCCUAGCUGACACUGGAAAAAUUAGACAGAAAGUUCAUUUUAAUAUUUAAAAUGCAUGCGUGCCCAGAGGCUUCAACCAAAUUUGGGUAAAUCCUGUUCAGUUUAAGAAAGCUUCCCACCAUCAAUUUGUAGUUUGUGUGUGCGUGCACAUAACUGGGUUUUGUGUUUGUCUUUGUUUAUGUAAUGAAACAACAAUCUUGUUUUCCCAGCCUCCAUUUUAGCUGAGUGUCCCCAUCCUUGUCCCAACGCUUGCUGUUGUCCUGUGUGUGGCCACUGUAAAGGCACCAGGCUUGAUUGCACCUCCUCCAGUUCAGUUUCAACUGCAAAGGUGCCUGCACAUCCACUGGUCAUGUCGCUCGACCUCCACACUGGAAUCCAGGCUCCCGCCACACAGAGACCAGGUAUGACACAAGCAAAGAAACAGCAUCCCUGUCCCAUUUGCAGUGUUGGGGGACCUCAUAUGUAUAAUCUGUUAUUAACAGAAUUAUUAUUAAGGUCCCACAUGCUCAAACAAAGGAGGUACUGCGGCCUGCAUGUAAAGUCCUCAUCCUGAUAGUAGUGAGUGAGGACAAAGAGAUUUCAAAUCUCAGCGCCAAAACCAGGCGCCAGGCUGGGGACCCAUACCUGGCUCCCCCGCUGACAUCCAGCUCCCGCUGACACAAGCGACAAACGGCGGAGAAACUUGGACGUCAGCCGGAAGAACUUGGACGUCAGCCGUCCUGAUUGGACCAAACAAUAGGACGGGCGUGACCAAAAACGCGGUUAUAAAAGUCGUCGUGACCCAAGACUCCUCCCUUGUUCUCUUCGAUCUCGUCCUCCCUUGUUCUCUUCGACCCUCUCGCUGCCCCACCUGGAGCUCCCUCUGCACCGGCACGCCUAAAGCCUCCACCGCAGCCAGCAGCUGAACUAACGGAGACGUCGUCACAGAGAACGGGCCUGAUCACCCAUCUACUUCCAGCCACACGGCAGGAAACCGCCAGCGUAACCGCCUCACUCGCCGCCGCAUCAGCUGAUCGCGACGCGAUCACCGCGACGCACACCUGGACCGGACCGGACCGCAACAGCGCAAGCACGCACGCACGCAACACCGGAGCUUCUCACCAGGAUUGAGCAGUAAGGCAGAGGCAUUCUUAAGUCUGAGCAGAGUAGAACUCUUAGGGUAUCAGUAAUUGUUUUAUUGUUGUGUUGUUUCUUUUCCUGCACACACAAUCUGACCGCUGUGUAUUUCCGCGAUCACGUGACUGUAACGCUGUUACAGAUCUACGUGAAUCUAAGAGGUGCAUAUUUAAGUGUUGUAAUCUGUGAUUUUACUAGCUUAAGUGCUUUAGUGUGUUACUGUGUAGUGUUCUGUUUCUUCUGCGACCACGCCAAGCGCACGUUUCAACCACUGCACGCUUCCGCGAUCACGUGACUAUAUCGCAGCAUAUAGCCCCACGUGUUUGUGUGACCACAAGCCUUAUCCACGCUAGUGCCACUUCACACUCCUUUACAGGCUUCUUUCCCUGUGAGCGCCAGACACGCGCGCUCCAUUCAAAGGGCUCACCGGCACACGCGCGCAGCUGUGCCAUCUCACCACGCCCCUAAAGGGGGGGCGCUCUCCUCCUCCUCCUCUUCUCUCUUUCUCUCUCUCUCUCUCUCUCUCACACACACACAUACACACACACACACACACACCCCUCUUAUCUCAGGUAACGCGCAUACACAUACAGAACGCUAGACGAACACACCAUAAGAUUAAGUUGUGAUUUGCUGAGUUAUUCAAGAUAGUGUUGACACUAGAGUUAAUAUUAACUGUUUAAUAAAGCGUUCAUAAUUUAA
Molecule: long non-coding RNA, 5560 nt
Organism: Betta splendens (Siamese fighting fish)
Lineage: Eukaryota; Metazoa; Chordata; Actinopteri; Anabantiformes; Osphronemidae
Exons: 4
Source: RefSeq, a predicted model, not a curated record